This 253-nucleotide ribosomal RNA is filed under the name uncultured bacterium. RNAcentral's name for it is "partial 16S ribosomal RNA". It matches the Rfam family "Bacterial small subunit ribosomal RNA", at positions 524 to 776 of the family's 1533-position model. The record is from RNAcentral.
UACGGGGGGGGCAAGCGUUGUUCGGAAUUACUGGGCGUAAAGGGCUCGUAGGUGGCCAACUAAGUCAGACGUGAAAUCCCUCAGCUUAACUGGGGAACUGCGUCCGAUACUGGAUGGCUUGAGUUUGGGAGAGGGAUGCGGAAUUCCAGGUGUAGCGGUGAAAUGCGUAGAUAUCUGGAGGAACACCGGUGGCGAAGGCGGCAUCCUGGACCAAUACUGACACUGAGGAGCGAAAGCCAGGGGAGCAAACGGG